ACUCCUACGGAAGGCAGCAGUGGGGAAUUUUGGACAAUGGGCGCAAGCCUGAUCCAGCCAUUCCGCGUGCAGGAUGAAGGCCUUCGGGUUGUAAACUGCUUUUGUACGGAACGAAACGGUUCUCUCUAAUACAGGGGGGCUAAUGACGGUACCGUAAGAAUAAGCACCGGCUAACUACGUGCCAGCAGCCGCGGUAAU
Molecule: ribosomal RNA, 198 nt
Filed under: uncultured bacterium
Lineage: Bacteria
Description: partial 16S ribosomal RNA
Rfam family: Bacterial small subunit ribosomal RNA
Source: RNAcentral